ACAGAGGGGGCAAGCGUUGUUCGGAAUUACUGGGCGUAAAGGGCGCGUAGGCGGCCGCCUAAGUCAGACGUGAAAUCCCUCGGCUCAACCGGGGAACUGCGUCUGAUACUGGGUGGCUUGAAUUCGGGAGAGGGAUGCGGAAUUCCAGGUGUAGCGGUGAAAUGCGUAGAUAUCUGGAGGAACACCGGUGGCGAAGGCGGCAUCCUGGACCGAGAUUGACGCUGAGGCGCGAAAGCCAGGGGAGCAAACGGGAUUAGAUACCCCGGUAGUCCUGGCCCUAAACGAUGAGUGCUUGGUGUGGCGGGUAUCGAUCCCUGCCGUGCCGAAGCUAACGCAUUAAGCACUCCGCCUGGGGAGUACGGUCGCAAGGCUG
This 373-nucleotide ribosomal RNA is filed under the name uncultured bacterium. Its description in RNAcentral is "bacterial SSU rRNA". It matches the Rfam family "Bacterial small subunit ribosomal RNA", at positions 525 to 896 of the family's 1533-position model. The record is from RNAcentral.